This 255-nucleotide ribosomal RNA is filed under the name uncultured bacterium. RNAcentral describes it as "partial 16S ribosomal RNA". It matches the Rfam family "Bacterial small subunit ribosomal RNA", at positions 57 to 305 of the family's 1533-position model. The record is from RNAcentral.
GCAAGUCGAGGGGUAACAGGGAGUGCUUGCACUCCGCUGACGACCGGCGCACGGGUGCGCACCGCGUAUGGAACCUGCCUCAUGCAGGGGAAUAGCCCAUGGAGACGUGGAUUAAUGCCCCAUAGUACCUUUAUACGGCAUUGUAUUAAGGUUAAAGGCUUCGGCCGGCAAGAGAUGGCCAUGCGUCCCAUUAGCUGGAUGGUAAGGUAACGGCUUACCAUGGCUACGAUGGGUAGCUGGUCUGAGAGGAUGAUC